RNAcentral lists this ribosomal RNA (1327 nucleotides) under Lactiplantibacillus plantarum. RNAcentral describes it as "bacterial SSU rRNA". It matches the Rfam family "Bacterial small subunit ribosomal RNA", at positions 60 to 1353 of the family's 1533-position model. The record is from RNAcentral. RNAcentral also lists the same sequence under 1 other name. Lineage: Bacteria; Bacillati; Bacillota; Bacilli; Lactobacillales; Lactobacillaceae.
AGUCGAACGAACUCUGGUAUUGAUUGGUGCUUGCAUCAUGAUUUACAUUUGAGUGAGUGGCGAACUGGUGAGUAACACGUGGGAAACCUGCCCAGAAGCGGGGGAUAACACCUGGAAACAGAUGCUAAUACCGCAUAACAACUUGGACCGCAUGGUCCGAGUUUGAAAGAUGGCUUCGGCUAUCACUUUUGGAUGGUCCCGCGGCGUAUUAGCUAGAUGGUGGGGUAACGGCUCACCAUGGCAAUGAUACGUAGCCGACCUGAGAGGGUAAUCGGCCACAUUGGGACUGAGACACGGCCCAAACUCCUACGGGAGGCAGCAGUAGGGAAUCUUCCACAAUGGACGAAAGUCUGAUGGAGCAACGCCGCGUGAGUGAAGAAGGGUUUCGGCUCGUAAAACUCUGUUGUUAAAGAAGAACAUAUCUGAGAGUAACUGUUCAGGUAUUGACGGUAUUUAACCAGAAAGCCACGGCUAACUACGUGCCAGCAGCCGCGGUAAUACGUAGGUGGCAAGCGUUGUCCGGAUUUAUUGGGCGUAAAGCGAGCGCAGGCGGUUUUUUAAGUCUGAUGUGAAAGCCUUCGGCUCAACCGAAGAAGUGCAUCGGAAACUGGGAAACUUGAGUGCAGAAGAGGACAGUGGAACUCCAUGUGUAGCGGUGAAAUGCGUAGAUAUAUGGAAGAACACCAGUGGCGAAGGCGGCUGUCUGGUCUGUAACUGACGCUGAGGCUCGAAAGUAUGGGUAGCAAACAGGAUUAGAUACCCUGGUAGUCCAUACCGUAAACGAUGAAUGCUAAGUGUUGGAGGGUUUCCGCCCUUCAGUGCUGCAGCUAACGCAUUAAGCAUUCCGCCUGGGGAGUACGGCCGCAAGGCUGAAACUCAAAGGAAUUGACGGGGGCCCGCACAAGCGGUGGAGCAUGUGGUUUAAUUCGAAGCUACGCGAAGAACCUUACCAGGUCUUGACAUACUAUGCAAAUCUAAGAGAUUAGACGUUCCCUUCGGGGACAUGGAUACAGGUGGUGCAUGGUUGUCGUCAGCUCGUGUCGUGAGAUGUUGGGUUAAGUCCCGCAACGAGCGCAACCCUUAUUAUCAGUUGCCAGCAUUAAGUUGGGCACUCUGGUGAGACUGCCGGUGACAAACCGGAGGAAGGUGGGGAUGACGUCAAAUCAUCAUGCCCCUUAUGACCUGGGCUACACACGUGCUACAAUGGAUGGUACAACGAGUUGCGAACUCGCGAGAGUAAGCUAAUCUCUUAAAGCCAUUCUCAGUUCGGAUUGUAGGCUGCAACUCGCCUACAUGAAGUCGGAAUCGCUAGUAAUCGCGGAUCAGC